RNAcentral lists this ribosomal RNA (904 nucleotides) under uncultured bacterium. Its description in RNAcentral is "bacterial SSU rRNA". It matches the Rfam family "Bacterial small subunit ribosomal RNA", at positions 9 to 895 of the family's 1533-position model. The record is from RNAcentral.
GAGUUUGAUCCUGGCUCAGGACGAACGCUGGCGGCGUGCCUAAUACAUGCAAGUCGAGCGAAUCAAUGGGAGCUUGCUCCCUGAGAUUAGCGGCGGACGGGUGAGUAACACGUGGGUAACCUGCCUGUAAGACUGGGAUAACUCCGGGAAACCGGGGCUAAUACCGGAUAAUAUCUAGAAUCGCAUGAUUCUAGAUUGAAAGAUGGUUUCGGCUAUCACUUACAGAUGGACCCGCGGCGCAUUAGCUAGUUGGUGAGGUAACGGCUCACCAAGGCAACGAUGCGUAGCCGACCUGAGAGGGUGAUCGGCCACACUGGGACUGAGACACGGCCCAGACUCCUACGGGAGGCAGCAGUAGGGAAUCUUCGGCAAUGGACGAAAGUCUGACCGAGCAACGCCGCGUGAGUGAAGAAGGUUUUCGGAUCGUAAAACUCUGUUGUUAAGGAAGAACAAGUACGAGAGUAACUGCUCGUACCUUGACGGUACUUAACCAGAAAGCCACGGCUAACUACGUGCCAGCAGCCGCGGUAAUACGUAGGUGGCAAGCGUUGUCCGGAAUUAUUGGGCGUAAAGCGCGCGCAGGCGGUUCCUUAAGUCUGAUGUGAAAGCCCACAGCUCAACCGUGGAGGGUCAUUGGAAACUGGGGAACUUGAGUGCAGAAGAGGAGAGUGGAAUUCCACGUGUAGCGGUGAAAUGCGUAGAGAUGUGGAGGAACACCAGUGGCGAAGGCGACUCUCUGGUCUGUAACUGACGCUGAGGCGCGAAAGCGUGGGGAGCGAACAGGAUUAGAUACCCUGGUAGUCCACGCCGUAAACGAUGAGUGCUAAGUGUUAGAGGGUUUCCGCCCUUUAGUGCUGCAGCAAACGCAUUAAGCACUCCGGCUGGGGAGUACGGUCGCAAGACU